Non-coding RNA from Microcebus murinus (gray mouse lemur), 2187 nucleotides. Lineage: Eukaryota; Metazoa; Chordata; Mammalia; Primates; Cheirogaleidae. The record is from RefSeq and is a predicted model, not a curated record.
GUUUAUAAAUAAUCAUUUAAUGAUAUUAAAAAUACAAUAAUUAUUAACAGCUACCCUUUAUUUACUAAUAUUUCCUAAUGUGCCAGACAUGUGCUAUGUAUUAUCUCACUAAUUCUCAGAAUGUCAUUAUGUCAUAACUACUGCCAUUGUUCUCAUUAUACAGAAAGGCAGAAUGGACCAUCCCAAGCAAAGUUCAUUGCUCAAGAUCACACGGUAAACGGGGACGCUGAGAUUCAAAGCGAGUUUUACUCUGACCCAAAGUCUCCACCCUUUACUAGGUAUGUUGAGCCUCUAAGAAGGAUACAUGACAUAGCACGUUUCCAAGCUCAGCCACGGAAGCCCUUCUCAUGCAAGGUUCCACAGAGCAACUUUGGGAAACACUGCUCUAGUUCCUCCUAGGAGAUCUGCCAAAAGCCAUGAGAGGAUUUCCAAGUCCCUGCUUCUCUUUCUUUCUCCCCCUCCUCAGCUGGGCCUGGGGUCCUGAGUCCCUCGGAGGCCCUUCUGCGUUAGCUCAAGGGGCUGGUGUGAGCACUGGAAGAAGGGCCCAGGAGGGGCUGAGAUUCCCGCCAGCAGCUCCCAAACUGUCCAGAGCUAAACAGGUGACUUCGUCAGCUACAAAUGACCCGUAGAGGAUUCCAAAUUCUAUUCUCAGUUUCUAAGUUGCUGCUUCAAACUUAGCAGCUGCUUGAGUCGCUAGCAGAUGAGGCAGGUCAUGAACUCAGAAUCCUUGAAGCCAUUGCCUGCUUAGUAGGAGAAAGUAGGGGUCCUCUGAGUGCGAUGCUCUCUCACUUGGGCCCCUGCGCCAGACUCCACACGAGGUCCCUAGACCUUCUUGCCACCACCUCACUGCGGCAGAAUGAGCUUUCGACGGGCAGCACACAGCUGACAUUGCCCUGCUCAGAACCCGGCGGUGGCUGUCUAGGGCCUCCAGCAGUGUCCAAACCACUUGGCCUGGUUUUCAAGGUCCUUGGAGACGGGGAGACUGUGUCAUCUGUUUCUUUUUCUCAAGAGAACGCACAAAUGAACAGAUAGAGGCUGUGACACAGAAGGUCUGGCUGCCCUGUCCUUGAAGGCAAACCACCUUGUGGAAGGAGCCAAGCAGCACUUACCAAAUCUCUUGCACAAGUCUCUUUUCUCUGGAGACUGUUUUUAACAAGAAACAGAGAAAAGCUUUCCCCUUAGGGCAUCAGAAAGAAAGUUGUGUUUAGAUGUCCUGCUUGAUCCUACUUCAGACGAGGCAGAGAGACAGGAAUAGAUGUCACCAAAGACUCCAGGGGCGCAAUAAAAGGAGUUCAGGCAUCUUUUUAGAACAGUCCCAGAGUUCUCCGCUAAGAACAAUGACACACGCCUAUUCGGGUGUCCUGAACUGUUGGAAGAGCAAAAAGCUCCUCUUUGUUGGGGGCUGGAAGCAGAGUGGGCGGUGUCUGAAUGCCUCUUGGCACUGCACGGGCUAGCCUAGUGCAUUCCAGACUGCAAGGUGCAUAUGUUACCUGGGAAGCUUGUUAGAAUGCACCUGCUGAUUCUGCAGGUCAGGGUGAAGACCAGGAUUCUGCACUUCUAACUAGCUCCUGUGUCAGGUUGGUGCAGCUGGAGCCACCUCAUGAUGAGUAAGAACAAACAGGCAGUGAAAACCGCUCCUCGUCUCCUGGUGCUCUGGAACUCUCGCUCAUCGUGGUGAAAAGAUUCCAGCCUGACUCCUCAUGGCUCCUGUGCGUACCAUGCUAUUCCAGUCCACCAUGCUCUGCACAGCUGUGCCCUCUGCUCGGAAAGCCCUCCUCACCAUAUGUAGCUGAAUUAAGUCUGCCUCAUCUUUGAAACUCUCCUGGCAUACCACCUCCUCCAAGGAGUCUUCCGGGUUCCUCAGGCUGAGAUAAGUGCCCCCUCCCACCUUCUGUGGGCUCAUAACCCUUGUGUCCAUCGAGACCAUGACACCUAUCUUCUUACAUGGAGACUGCCCAUGCCUCGGCCUGCCUUCCCCACCAGCCUUCAAAAGCAUGAAUCAUGCCUUGUCGCUGUUUAUCCUCCCAGUGCCCUGCAUGGGGUCUAGCACACAGAAGAUGCACGAUAAACAUUUGGCGAAGUGCACCAAAGCUGGCAACAUCUCCUCCAAGGGAAGAAGAAUUUAGCAGGUUCUUUCCAUCGCAAAGAGAAAUGAUUUAAUUCAAUAAGGAAAGCAUCUUUUUGUUU